AGACCAGCCCUGCCAGUGACAUAAUUAAACGGCCGCGGUACUCUGACCGUGCGAAGGUAGCAUAAUCACUUGUUCUUUAAUUGAGGACUAGCAUGAACGGCAUCACGAGGGCCUUACUGUCUCCCUUUUCCAAUCAGUGAAACUGAUCCCCCCGUGAAGAAGCGGGGAUUAUUAUAUAAGACGAGAAGACCCCAUGGAGCUUUAAACCCAACAGACAACCCUCAGCCCAUCACUCCCCCAAACUCUCAAUCCCCUGUCUGCUGGUUUUAGGUUGGGGUGACCGCGGAGUAAAACUUAUCCUCCACGACGUACGGGCUUUCCCCCCUUAUCCAUGAACCACCACUCUAAGAAUCAACAAAUUGACGUCAAGUGAUCCAAUUUUCUGAUCAACGAACCAAGUUACCCUGGGGAUAACAGCGCGAUCCAUUUUAAGAGCCCCUAUCGACAAAUGGGUUUACGACCUCGAUGUUGGAUCAGGGUACCCAAGUGGUGCAGCCGCUACUAAUGGUUU
RNAcentral lists this ribosomal RNA (511 nucleotides) under Fejervarya sp. MS-2010. RNAcentral describes it as "partial 16S ribosomal RNA". It matches the Rfam family "Bacterial large subunit ribosomal RNA", at positions 1898 to 2574 of the family's 2925-position model. The record is from RNAcentral. Lineage: Eukaryota; Metazoa; Chordata; Amphibia; Anura; Dicroglossidae.